RNAcentral lists this ribosomal RNA (468 nucleotides) under uncultured bacterium. Its description in RNAcentral is "partial 16S ribosomal RNA". It matches the Rfam family "Bacterial small subunit ribosomal RNA", at positions 28 to 507 of the family's 1533-position model. The record is from RNAcentral.
GACGAACGCUGGCGGCGUGCUUAACACAUGCAAGUCGAACGGAAAGGCCCUGCUUUUGUGGGGUGCUCGAGUGGCGAACGGGUGAGUAACACGUGAGUAACCUGCCCCUGACUUUGGGAUAACUUCAGGAAACUGGGGCUAAUACCGGAUAGGAUCUCCUGCUGCACGGUGGGGGUUGGAAAGUUUCGGCGGUUGGGGCUGGACUGGCGGCUUAUCAGCUUGUUGGUGAGGUAGUGGCUUACCAAGGCUUUGACGGGUAGCCGGCCUGAGAGGGGGAACGGGGUCCAUGCGCCUAAGGGAGGCCGCAGAAGGCAAUCUGAGGCAACGGGGGGAAGUAUGACGGAGCGAGGCGGAGCGUGAUACGAAGAUGUCGGGUGCGUGAUGCCGGGCUUCGGGUUAUGAACCGAUGUGGCAGGUGACGUGGAGUUAGUGACGGUAAUGGGUAAGGAAGCACCGGCUAACUACGUG